This 29-nucleotide ribosomal RNA is filed under the name Hordeum vulgare. Lineage: Eukaryota; Viridiplantae; Streptophyta; Magnoliopsida; Poales; Poaceae. The record is from RNAcentral.
GGAUGCCAUCAUACCAGCACUAAAGCACC